AGGAAAUAGAUACCCAGGUAGUCCCAGCCGUAAACGAUGCUCGCUAGGUGUCAGACAUGGCGCGACCGUGUCUGGUGCCGCAGGGAAGCCGUGAAGCGAGCCACCUGGGAAGUACGGCCGCAAGGCUGAAACUUAAAGGAAUUGGCGGGGAGCACAACAACGGGUGGAGCCUGCGGUUUAAUUGGACUCAACGCCGGACAACUCACCGGGGACGACAGCAAAAUGUAGGCCAGGCUGAAGACCUUGCCUGAAUCGCUGAGAGGAGGUGCAUGGCCGUCGCCAGUUCGUACUGUGAAGCAUCCUGUUAAGUCAGGCAACGAGCGAGACCCGUGCCCACUGUUACCAGCAUAUCCUCCGGGAUGAUGGGUACUCUGUGGGGACCGCCGGUGUUAAAUCGGAGGAAGGUGCGGGCCACGGUAGGUCAGUAUGCCCCGAAUUUCCCGGGCUACACGCGGGCUACAAUGAAUGGGACAAUGGGUCCCGUACCCCGAAACGGGUUGGUAAUCUCACAAACCCAUCCGUAGUUCGGAUCGAGGGCGUGUAACUCGCCCU
RNAcentral lists this ribosomal RNA (552 nucleotides) under uncultured bacterium. Its description in RNAcentral is "bacterial SSU rRNA". It matches the Rfam family "Archaeal small subunit ribosomal RNA", at positions 725 to 1274 of the family's 1478-position model. The record is from RNAcentral.